UUGUGAUGUUUGCUAUACAAUUACGGAUACUUUGAUUUAGUUCUUUGAAACAUGUUUGUAUCACUGAUUUGGAUUGGCUACAAGAUAUAAAUUCCUAAUGUACGUCUGGUACCCUGUGUUAACUCUCCUAGCAUUGUAUUACUGGUGUGACGGUUUUGUUGUUGUGGGUUUUGAGCUUGGUGGUAACUGGUAAGGGUGUGUGACGCUCUGUUGUGAAGCCCAGAAGACUGAGAGCAAUGCUGAAAAAGCAAGGCAUAAAAGGCCCUCCAACUACUUUUUGCUUGGUAAUUUGGGCGAUGUGAAUGAAGCACAAGCUAGCUCCAAAAGCCGCCUCCUGGAGAGAGAAAGGAAUUGUGCACAAUGUCCCUGCUAUUAUUUUUCCUACUUUCCCUCAAUGGACUAAGCAAUAUGGUCCAACAUUCAUGUUCUCACUAGGCAAGGCAACAUGGAAUUUGUGCACAUAAAUGAUCCAGAAAUCAUGAAGGAAAUCACUUUAUACACUUCCUUGGGCUUUGGAAAGCCAUCUUUCCCACAGAAACUGUUUGAUCCUUUGCUAGACCGAGGCAUUGUCAACGCCAAUGGAUCUGAAUGGUCUCAACAAAGAAAAAUCCUUGCUCCUGAGUUUUUCAACAAGGUGGUCAAGAUAUAUAAGUAUCCAUCAAAUUUAUUAUUUUUUGACAAAUUUUUCCGAGGCAUUCGUUCCCAACACUUGGGUGAAAUGUUCAUUUGGCAAUGCUUACUGCAAACAAAACCAUUCAAAACAAUGCCUCUCUGGUUUCUCCUGCGAAAGAUGAGAAUACCUUUUUAUCCUUCUAGGAAGCUUCUAGGUUGGCAAUUCUUUUGUAUUUUCAAACAAUGAUUCAGAUUGAAUUAUUAUUAAUUGUGGAUAAGGGUAUAGGAAAUAGAGAUAAAACUGCAAGAACAAAGUACUGCAUUUUAUUAUACAAAGAUUAUAUAUGUAAACAUCUUGCAAAUAGGUUUCACUUUUUGAUGGGAUUUUGUUCUGGUAUAUAAUAAAGAUGGUAUACAGAUUCCAAAAC
Long non-coding RNA from Ziziphus jujuba (common jujube), 1040 nucleotides. RefSeq lists it as uncharacterized. The transcript is spliced from 2 exons. NCBI's taxonomy places the organism in Eukaryota, Viridiplantae, Streptophyta, Magnoliopsida, Rosales, Rhamnaceae. The record is from RefSeq and is a predicted model, not a curated record.